GCUACAUGAUGUAUCCUAAGAUAUCAUAGACACUUGUAAUGCUGACUUUUUAUCUAUCACCCUAUUACUGAUGGCU
This is a small nucleolar RNA of Bombina bombina (fire-bellied toad), 76 nucleotides long. RefSeq annotates it as small nucleolar RNA SNORD83. The record is from RefSeq and is a predicted model, not a curated record. Lineage: Eukaryota; Metazoa; Chordata; Amphibia; Anura; Bombinatoridae. The transcript has a single exon.